Molecule: ribosomal RNA, 520 nt
Filed under: uncultured bacterium
Lineage: Bacteria
Description: partial 16S ribosomal RNA
Rfam family: Bacterial small subunit ribosomal RNA
Source: RNAcentral
GACGAACGCUGGCGGCGUGCCUAAUACAUGCGAGUCGAACGCACUCUCGUUUAGAUUGACGGAGUUUGCUCCUGAUUGAUAAACAUUUGAGUGAGUGGCGGACGGGUGAGUAACACGUGGGUAACCUGCCCUAAAGUGGGGGAUAACAUUUGGAAACAGAUGCUAAUACCGCAUAAAACCUAACACCGCAUGGUGUAGGGUUGAAAGAUGGUUUCGGCUAUCACUUUAGGAUGGACCCGCGGUGCAUUAGUUAGUUGGUGAGGUAAAGGCUCACCAAGACCGUGAUGCAUAGCCGACCUGAGAGGGUAAUCGGCCACACUGGGACUGAGACACGGCCCAGACUCCUACGGGAGGCAGCAGUAGGGAAUCUUCCACAAUGGACGAAAGUCUGAUGGAGCAACGCCGCGUGAGUGAAGAAGGUUUUCGGAUCGUAAAACUCUGUUGUUGGAGAAGAAUGUAUCUGAUAGUAACUGAUCAGGUAGUGACGGUAUCCAACCAGAAAGCCACGGCUAACUACGUG